CCUACGGGAGGCAGCAGUAGGGAAUCUUCCGCAAUGGACGAAAGUCUGACGGAGCAACGCCGCGUGAGUGAUGAGGGCUUUCGGGUCGUAAACUCUGUUGUUAGGGAAGAACAAGUGCUAGUUAAAUAAGCCGGCACCUUGACGGUACCUAACCAGAAAGCCACGGCUAACUACGUGCCAGCAGCCGCGGUAAU
RNAcentral lists this ribosomal RNA (194 nucleotides) under uncultured bacterium. Its description in RNAcentral is "partial 16S ribosomal RNA". It matches the Rfam family "Bacterial small subunit ribosomal RNA", at positions 338 to 524 of the family's 1533-position model. The record is from RNAcentral.